Molecule: transfer-messenger RNA, 353 nt
Filed under: bovine gut metagenome
Rfam family: transfer-messenger RNA
About the family: Bacterial tmRNA, also known as 10Sa RNA or SsrA, is named for its dual tRNA and mRNA-like properties. Its role is to liberate the mRNA from a stalled ribosome. To accomplish this part of the tmRNA is used as a reading frame that ends in a translation stop signal.
Source: RNAcentral
GGGGGUGAUCCGGUUUCGACGGGACACGUGGAGAUCAGAUCGCGCGUCGAGGAUGUCGGUUGGCCUCGUUAAUCAUCCGGCAAAACCAUAAUCGCGAACAACGAUUACGCUCUCGCGGCCUAAUUACGGCCCCGAUGUCGCCCGGCAGACGCCUGCUACGCCGCUGCGGCAUAACUCAGCAGGACUUGGCUUGAAGCGCUCCGUUCGCGCGUCUCGCCCACGUACAACCGAGCGGUUGCUUGGGGAUAAGCCCGUCCGUCGGCAUACCUCUUGCGAGAUCAAAGGCGGGAUACACGCGUAGAAGUUUGGUUGAAGCUGCCUCGGACGGGGGUUCGACUCCCCCCACCUCCACA